UGCGGGGUCGUCUAAUGGUAGGACUCCAGACUUUGGAUCUGGCUAUUCUAGGUUCGAAUCCUAGCCCCGCAG
Molecule: transfer RNA, 72 nt
Filed under: Candidatus Amesbacteria bacterium RIFOXYB1_FULL_44_23
Lineage: Bacteria; Candidatus Amesiibacteriota
Also listed under: 1 other name
Description: tRNA-Gln
Rfam family: tRNA
About the family: Transfer RNA (tRNA) molecules are approximately 80 nucleotides in length.
Source: RNAcentral